UCGAGCUUCGAGCGGCCCGUACCCCAAACCGACACAGGUGGUCAGGUAGAGAAUACCGAGGCGAUCGGGCGAACUGUGGUUAAGGAACUCGGCAAAUUACCCCCGUAACUUCGGGAGAAGGGGGGCCACAGACUGUCAUACCCCACGCGGGUGGCAGCAGUAGGUGGCCGCAGAGACCAGGGGGAAGCGACUGUUUACUAAAAACACAGGUCCGUGCGAAGUCGUAAGACGAUGUAUACGGACUGACGCCUGCCCGGUGCUGGAACGUUAAGGGGACCGGUUAGUCCGCAAGGGCGAAGCUGAGAACUUAAGCGCCAGUAAACGGCGGUGGUAACUAUAACCAUCCUAAGGUAGCGAAAUUCCUUGUCGGGUAAGUUCCGACCUGCACGAAUGGCGUAACGACUUCCCUACUGUCUCAACCACAGGCCCGGCGGAAUUGCACUACGAGUAAAGAUGCUCGUUACGCGCGGAAGGACGGAAAGACCCCGGGACCUUCACUAUAGCUUGACAUUGGUAUCCGAAUUUAAUUGUGUAGGAUAGGUGGGAGGCUUUGAUCCGCGGACGCCAGUCCGUCGGGGAGCCAACGUUGAAAUACCACUCUGUUGACUUUGGGUAUCUAACUUCGGACCGUGAUCCGGUUCAGGGACAGUGUCUGGUGGGUAGUUUAACUGGGGCGGUUGCCUCCUAAAAUGUAACGGAGGCGCCCAAAGGUUCCCUCAGCCUGGUUGGCAAUCAGGUGUUGAGUGCAAGUGCACAAGGGAGCUUGACUGUGAGACUGACAGGUCGAGCAGGGACGAAAGUCGGGACUAGUGAUCCGGCACCUGCGAGUGGAAGCGGUGUCGCUCAACGGAUAAAAGGUACCCCGGGGAUAACAGGCUGAUCUUCCCCAAGAGUCCAUAUCGACGGGAUGGUUUGGCACCUCGAUGUCGGCUCGUCGCAUCCUGGGGCUGGAGUAGGUCCCAAGGGUUGGGCUGUUCGCCCAUUAAAGCGGCACGCGAGCUGGGUUUAGAACGUCGUGAGACAGUUCGGUCCCUAUCCUCCGCGCGCGUAGGAGACUUGAGAAGAGCUGUCCCUAGUACGAGAGGACCGGGACGGACGAACCUCGGGUGUGCCAGUUGUCAUGCCAAUGGCACGGCUGGUUAGCUACGUUCGGAAGGGAUAACCGCUGAAAGCAUCUAAGCGGGAAGCUCGCUUCAAGAUGAGGUCUCCCACCCCUUAGAGGGUUAAGGCCCCCAGCUAGACCACUGGGUUGAUAGGCCAGAAGUGUAAGCCUGGUAACAGGUUCAGCCGACUGGUACUAAUAGGCCGAGGACUUCACCU
This 1320-nucleotide ribosomal RNA is filed under the name metagenome. Its description in RNAcentral is "bacterial LSU rRNA". It matches the Rfam family "Bacterial large subunit ribosomal RNA", at positions 1626 to 2925 of the family's 2925-position model. The record is from RNAcentral.